This 613-nucleotide ribosomal RNA is filed under the name uncultured bacterium. Its description in RNAcentral is "bacterial SSU rRNA". It matches the Rfam family "Bacterial small subunit ribosomal RNA", at positions 338 to 951 of the family's 1533-position model. The record is from RNAcentral.
CCUACGGGAGGCAGCAGUAAGGAAUAUUGGACAAUGCUCGCAAGAGUGAUCCAGCCAUGCCGCGUGCAGGAAGAAUGCCCUAUGGGUAGUAAACUGCUUUUGAACUAGAGAAAACCCCAGUACGUGUACUGGGCUGAUAGUAUAGUUAGAAUAAGCAUCGGCUAACUUCGUGCCAGCAGCCGCGGUAAGACGAAGGAUGCAAGCGUUAUCCGGAUUCAUUGGGUUUAAAGGGAGCGUAGGUGGACUGAUAAGUCAGUGGUGAAAUCUCCGAGCUUAACUCGGAAAUUGCCAUUGAUACUGUUGGUCUUGAGUACAGUUGCUGUGGGCGGAAUAUGACAUGUAGUGGUGAAAUACAUAGAGAUGUCAUAGAACACCGAUUGCGGAGGCAGCUCACAAAGCUGUAACUGACACUGAGGCUCGAAAGUGCGGGGAUCAAACAGGAUUAGAUACCCUGGUAGUCCGCACCGUAAACGAUGAUUACUCGCUGCUAGGGGGCAACCUUUAGUGGCUUAGCGAAAGCGAUAAGUAAUCCACCUGGGGAGUACGCCGGCAACGGUGAAACUCAAAGGAAUUGACGGCUUGAGGACGNGCGAGGACGACACGAGGGAGGAGG